CCAACUGGGAUACCUUAGUAACGGCGAGUGAAGCGGUAAAAGCUCAAAUUUGAAAUCUGGUACUUUCAGUGCCCGAGUUGUAAUUUGUAGAAUUUGUCUUUGAUUAGGUCCUUGUCUAUGUUCCUUGGAACAGGACGUCAUAGAGGGUGAGAAUCCCGUUUGGCGAGGAUACCUUUUCUCUGUAAGACUUUUUCGAAGAGUCGAGUUGUUUGGGAAUGCAGCUCAAAGUGGGUGGUAAAUUCCAUCUAAAGCUAAAUAUUGGCGAGAGACCGAUAGCGAACAAGUACAGUGAUGGAAAGAUGAAAAGAACUUUGAAAAGAGAGUGAAAAAGUACGUGAAAUUGUUGAAAGGGAAGGGCAUUUGAUCAGACAUGGUGUUUUUUGCAUGCACUCGCCUCUCGUGGGCUUGGGCCUCUCAAAAAUUUCACUGGGCCAACAUCAAUUCUGGCAGCAGGAUAAAUCAUUAAGAAUGUAGCUACUUCGGUAGUGUUAUAGCUUUUUGGAAUACUGUUAGCCGGGAUUGAGGACUGCGCUUCGGCAAGGAUGUUGGCAUAAUGGUUAAAUGCCGCCCGUCUUGAAACACGAACCAAAAAAAUUU
RNAcentral lists this ribosomal RNA (597 nucleotides) under Hanseniaspora uvarum. RNAcentral describes it as "eukaryotic LSU rRNA". It matches the Rfam family "Eukaryotic large subunit ribosomal RNA", at positions 65 to 677 of the family's 3401-position model. Lineage: Eukaryota; Fungi; Ascomycota; Saccharomycetes; Saccharomycodales; Saccharomycodaceae. The record is from RNAcentral.